GACGAACGCUGGCGGCGUGCUUAACACAUGCAAGUCGAACGAUGAAGCUAGAGCUUGCUCUGGUGAAUUAGUGGCGAACGGGUGAGUAACACGUGAGUAACCUGCCCCGAACUCUGGGAUAACUGCUGGAAACGGUAGCUAAUACUGGAUACGACCUACGAAGGCAUCUUCUGUAGGUGGAAAGAAUUUCGGUUCGGGAUGGACUCGCGGCCUAUCAGCUUGUUGGUGAGGUAAUGGCUCACCAAGGCGACGACGGGUAGCCGGCCUGAGAGGGGGACCGGCCAAACUGGGACUGAGACACGGCCCAGACUCCUACGGGAGGCAGCAGUGGGGAAUAUUGCACAAUGGGCGCAAGCCUGAUGCAGCAACGCCGCGUGAGGGAUGACGGCCUUCGGGUUGUAAACCUCUUUUAGUAGGGAAGAAGCGAAAGUGACGGUACCUGCAGAAAAAGCACCGGCUAACUACGUGCCAGCCGCCGCGGUAA
RNAcentral lists this ribosomal RNA (484 nucleotides) under uncultured bacterium. RNAcentral's name for it is "partial 16S ribosomal RNA". It matches the Rfam family "Bacterial small subunit ribosomal RNA", at positions 28 to 523 of the family's 1533-position model. The record is from RNAcentral.